This 31-nucleotide non-coding RNA is filed under the name Mus musculus (house mouse). The record is from RNAcentral. Lineage: Eukaryota; Metazoa; Chordata; Mammalia; Rodentia; Muridae.
UGAUUUCAGAGACUUCUUGAAGCAACAGAGU